This 21-nucleotide unclassified non-coding RNA is filed under the name Chlamydomonas reinhardtii. RNAcentral describes it as "small RNA Cre_2271". The record is from RNAcentral. Lineage: Eukaryota; Viridiplantae; Chlorophyta; Chlorophyceae; Chlamydomonadales; Chlamydomonadaceae.
UAGAGCGUGGUGCUAAUAACG